Molecule: non-coding RNA, 113 nt
Organism: Acanthosepion pharaonis
Lineage: Eukaryota; Metazoa; Mollusca; Cephalopoda; Sepiida; Sepiidae
Source: the annotation of a GenBank genome assembly
UAUGGCAAUAUCACAUUGAAGCACCAGUUCCUGUACGAUUAUUGAGGUUAAGCAACACUAGGCCUUGUCAGUUCCUAGAUGGGUGACCACAUGGGAAUACCAGGCACUGUAAG